This 484-nucleotide ribosomal RNA is filed under the name uncultured bacterium. RNAcentral describes it as "partial 16S ribosomal RNA". It matches the Rfam family "Bacterial small subunit ribosomal RNA", at positions 30 to 507 of the family's 1533-position model. The record is from RNAcentral.
AUUGAACGCUGGCGGCAGGCCUAACACAUGCAAGUCGAGCGGAUGAAGGGAGCUUGCUCCUGGAUUCAGCGGCGGACGGGUGAGUAAUGCCUAGGAAUCUGCCUGGUAGUGGGGGAUAACGUCCGGAAACGGGCGCUAAUACCGCAUACGUCCUGAGGGAGAAAGUGGGGGAUCUUCGGACCUCACGCUAUCAGAUGAGCCUAGGUCGGAUUAGCUAGUUGGUGGGGUAAAGGCCUACCAAGGCGACGAUCCGUAACUGGUCUGAGAGGAUGAUCAGUCACACAGGAACUGAGACACGGUCCAGACUCCUACGGGAGGCAGCAGUGGGGAAUAUUGGACAAUGGGCGAAAGCCUGAUCCAGCCAUGCCGCGUGUGUGAAGAAGGUCUUCGGAUUGUAAAGCACUUUAAGUUGGGAGGAAGGGCAGUAAGUUAAUACCUUGCUGUUUUGACGUUACCAACAGAAUAAGCACCGGCUAACUUCGUG